This is a long non-coding RNA of Dendronephthya gigantea, 1708 nucleotides long. RefSeq lists it as uncharacterized. The transcript has 4 exons. The record is from RefSeq and is a predicted model, not a curated record. NCBI's taxonomy places the organism in Eukaryota, Metazoa, Cnidaria, Anthozoa, Malacalcyonacea, Nephtheidae.
UUGGGCCUUCCAAAAUGUGAGGAAGCCAACUACCGCACAACUAUAUAUUCGGAAAAUAUAGGUAAGGCAGAUUCAGGCGAAUAUAACGAAUGGAUAACUAAAAGUUCUUACGUCGCGAAAUGAAAAUUCACUGCCAGAGUCGGGCAAUUCUAUAUCAAUGUUCCGGCGUAAGUUUGGGCCAGUAAAAGCAGUACAUGCAUUUUCUCGGAUCAAGUCAUCGGUAGCGACAAGCACAACAUUUAAAAGACUCAAAGAGACAUAUCAGUUAUAUAUAACCUUCGCGCCUUCGAUACGUUUAAAUUGAUAAAACUAUCAAAUAACUCAUUACGACUACGUAAUAUUCCUAAGAACUUUGAUGACCCACUUUAAAGAUCAGUUACACGAUUUACUGAUAAUUAUAUAAACAAUAAACCUGAAUUAGAAAAUGAUAUAAACGCAACUCGGAAUGCCUCUCUCUCCAUCUCUUCGAUUCUCUCGCGCGCACAGCCGACGAACUUGAACACCAGCAAUUUUACGCUUCAAUUCUUGAUUUCAAUAGAACUUGCAUUUUAAAGAAUUAAGGAUCAUUUAAAACACUUGAACGCGCAGACAAGAAGGCGGAAUACCGCCAUAAUAAAAUUUAUACGAAGCGCCUUCAAAGAUCCAGAGACUGCAACUGUUUUUUACCACGAAUACGCGAUAUACCAGCCAGAUAUUCAAAAUGUAUCACCCUGGAUUAGAUCCAGGGGAGUUCAAUAUGAAGCCGAAUGCGGACACGGCGAGCAACUACCCCAAUACAAUCACCCCACCAUCAUAUACAGAACAGGCAGUGGUGUCCAACCUUCGUCGAUUUACGGGUGCACCAGCUGCUACCCUCCAACAAAAACCCAAGGAUACGUUUGUAAUACAACACCAACCUACAGUAAAGGCUGCCUUCCCAAAACGUUUUAUGACUGUCGACUUCGAACAGGCCACGAUUCCCCUCCACCAGCCCAAUGAGUCCAGGCUUGCUUAUAUCCAUCAGGGUGCUGGGACACCGCUACAAAAGCAAGGCACGAUUGCUACAGUCGUGACAAAGCAACCUGCUCAAAUUCCAAGAGAAUGGAGCACUAAAUUAUGUGCUUGCUGUGAUGACACUGGCGUGUGCAUCGCCAGUGCCUGUUCGUGUCUGCUUUUUUGCUGUUGUGUUCCGGUCAUUGAGUAUCAGAUCGCUGAUGCUGCUGGGGUCAGUUGCUGCUACACGUUUUGUUUUGCUGAUAAACUGCGUAGAAUGAUCAGGAAAAGGCACAACAUUAAGGGGGACAAAGUGAUGACUUCUGGACUGUAUUUUGUUGUAUUUACUGCGCUUAUUGUCAAAUGCUACGAGAGAUAAAUAUUCACGGCAUGUAGCCUGCGGGUCAGCGGCGCUAAAUGUCGCGUGGUUCCUGGGAGGCGCUGUUACAUAGUGCAAUUUGUCUUGCAACUUGGAAUGUAUUUCUACUUUUAAGAGAUGUAAAUUAGUGAAGAGUCGUCAAGUCUAAACGUAAGAAAAGUCAUGGAAUGUAAGAUAACGCAAAAUUUAAAAAUAAGGGCGCUUUUCUGUAUGCGGUAAAAACCAGUCCUGUUGUAUUUCAGUACAGACAGAUUAAUGCCGGUUAUCUUAGAGUGUUUCAAAAACUCUUCAUUCUAACAUAUAGUUAUUUACAUCUGCGUAGUACGGGAAAUGCAGUUAUUAUUUUAUUAUAUUUUU